Molecule: ribosomal RNA, 253 nt
Filed under: uncultured bacterium
Lineage: Bacteria
Description: partial 16S ribosomal RNA
Rfam family: Bacterial small subunit ribosomal RNA
Source: RNAcentral
UACGUAGGGGGCAAGCGUUGUCCGGAUUUAUUGGGCGUAAAGAGCGUGUAGGCGGUUUGGUAGGUCCGUUGUGAAAACUCGAGGCUCAACCUCGAGACGCCGGUGGAAACCAUCAGACUAGAGUCCGGAAGAGGAGAGUGGAAUUCCUGGUGUAGCGGUGAAAUGCGCAGAUAUCAGGAAGAACACCCGUGGCUAAGGCGGCUCUCUAGUACGGUACUGACGCUGAGACGCGAAAGCGUGGGGAGCGAACAGG